This 434-nucleotide ribosomal RNA is filed under the name uncultured bacterium. Its description in RNAcentral is "partial 16S ribosomal RNA". It matches the Rfam family "Bacterial small subunit ribosomal RNA", at positions 29 to 507 of the family's 1533-position model. The record is from RNAcentral.
AGCGAACGCUGGCGGCAGGCCUAACACAUGCAAGUCGAACGAACCUUUCGGGGUUAGUGGCGGACGGGUGAGUAACACGUGGGAACGUGCCUUUAGGUUCGGAAUAACUCAGGGAAACUUGUGCUAAUACCGAAUGUGCCCUUCGGGGGAAAGAUUUGUCGCCUGUAGAGCGGCCCGCGUCUGAUUAGCUAGUUGGUUGAGGUAAUGGCACACCAAGGCGACGAGGAGUAGCUGUGCGGAGAGGAUGAUCAGCCACAUUGGAGCUGAGACACGGCCUAAACUCCUACGCGAGGCAGGAGUGGGGAAUCUUGCGGAAGGAGCGAAAGCCUGACGCAGCCAUGCCGGGUGAAUGAUGCAGGUCGUAGGAUUGUAAAAUUCUUUCACCGGGGACGAUAAUGACGGUACCCGGAGAAGAAGCCCCGGCUAACUUCGUG